RNAcentral lists this transfer RNA (68 nucleotides) under Rhizomys pruinosus (hoary bamboo rat). RNAcentral's name for it is "tRNA-Thr". It matches the Rfam family "tRNA". From Rfam's summary of the family: Transfer RNA (tRNA) molecules are approximately 80 nucleotides in length. Their secondary structure includes four short double-helical elements and three loops (D, anti-codon, and T loops). Further hydrogen bonds mediate the characteristic L-shaped molecular structure. tRNAs have two regions of fundamental functional importance: the anti-codon, which is responsible for specific mRNA codon recognition, and the 3' end, to which the tRNAs corresponding amino acid is attached (by aminoacyl-tRNA synthetases). tRNAs cope with the degeneracy of the genetic code in two manners: having more than one tRNA (with a specific anti-codon) for a particular amino acid; and 'wobble' base-pairing, i.e. permitting non-standard base-pairing at the 3rd anti-codon position. The record is from RNAcentral. Lineage: Eukaryota; Metazoa; Chordata; Mammalia; Rodentia; Spalacidae.
GCUCUGGUAGUAUAAUAAAUUACCUUGGUCUUGUAAACCAAAAAUGAAAAUAAAAUCUUCCCAGAACA